Molecule: long non-coding RNA, 672 nt
Organism: Trifolium pratense (red clover)
Lineage: Eukaryota; Viridiplantae; Streptophyta; Magnoliopsida; Fabales; Fabaceae
Exons: 2
Source: RefSeq, a predicted model, not a curated record
AUUACUUGUAACUAAUGUCACUACUGAAGGAACAAUAUCACCUCCAAAAUGAAGUUAAACAUCAAGUUUUCAUCAACAUAAAAAAUAUGUUUUUUUACAUCCUCAACCUCUUUAAAUAGAUGACCCGAUAUGAGUUUGUUUAUUAACAGGGUAAUAAUAAAUUUAAUUUAGGUGAAAAUUGUAGUAAGUGAUAAUCAUGAACAAGUCAUGCUUUCAGUUUUUCUUCAUUUUGCUUAUUCUCCUCGCUUCUCAGAUGGUGGUACAAACUGAGGGAAGGAGGUAUCAGAGGUCAAAGGGACAGAGAUUUUGCAUAAGCCACCACCAUUGCUCUCAUAUUUGUCAAUCUGAAGGCUUUGAAUGCGGUCAAUGUGGAAGUUCUCGAAGAGGUUGCUCUUGCAGCAAACGUUGUUAAUAGUGAGUAGGGAUCCUCUCCAUUUCUUAAAGGAAAUGGAAAAUACAAUUACUAGCUUAGUAUACUAAUAUACUAUUGUUGUUAAUUAAUUAAUGUAACAUUGCAAUCAUAUGUUACUUUAAUUUAAUUUUGCUUAAGCGCUUGAGGUUAGCUUUGAGCUAGAGUUCAAUUAAUUAUCUAAUGUUACUUAUUUUGUUAUGCUUUCAUGAUGUAUUUGACAUCAAAAAUUAGUGAAACUGAGUCAUUUUCAUUUUGUAUUA